RNAcentral lists this ribosomal RNA (492 nucleotides) under uncultured bacterium. Its description in RNAcentral is "partial 16S ribosomal RNA". It matches the Rfam family "Bacterial small subunit ribosomal RNA", at positions 29 to 507 of the family's 1533-position model. The record is from RNAcentral.
AGUGAACGCUGGCGGUAGGCCUAACACAUGCAAGUCGAACGGCAGCACAGUAAGAGCUUGCUCUUACGGGUGGCGAGUGGCGGACGGGUGAGGAAUACAGCGGAAUCUACUUUUUCGUGGGGUAUAACGUAGGGAAACUAACGCUAAUACCGCAUACGACCUACGGGUGAAAGCAGGGGAUCUUCGGACCUUGCGCGAUUGAAUGAGCCGAUGUCGGAUUAGCUAGUUGGCGGGGUAAAGGCCCACCAAGGCGACGAUCCGUAGCUGGUCUGAGAGGAUGAUCAGCCACACUGGAACUGAGACACGGUCCAGACUCCUACGGGAGGCAGCAGUGGGGAAUAUUGGACAAUGGGCGCAAGCCUGAUCCAGCCAUACCGCGUGGGUGAAGAAGGCCUUCGGGUUGUAAAGCCCUUUUGUUGGGAAAGAAAAGCAGCAGGUUAAUACCCCGCUGUUCUGACGGUACCCAAAGAAUAAGCACCGGCUAACUUCGUG